This 474-nucleotide ribosomal RNA is filed under the name uncultured organism. RNAcentral describes it as "partial 16S ribosomal RNA". It matches the Rfam family "Bacterial small subunit ribosomal RNA", at positions 335 to 800 of the family's 1533-position model. The record is from RNAcentral.
ACUCCUGCGGGAGGCAGCAGUGGGGAAUUUUGGACAAUGGGCGAAAGCCUGAUCCAGCAAUGCCGCGUGAGUGAAGAAGGCCUUCGGGUUGUAAAGCUCUUUUGUCAGGGAAGAAACGGUGAGAGCUAAUAUCUCUUGCUAAUGACGGUACCUGAAGAAUAAGCACCGGCUAACUACGUGCCAGCAGCCGCGGUAAUACGUAGGGUGCAAGCGUUAAUCGGAAUUACUGGGCGUAAAGCGUGCGCAGGCGGUUUUGUAAGUCUGAUGUGAAAUCCCCGGGCUCAACCUGGGAAUUGCAUUGGAGACUGCAAGGCUAGAAUCUGGCAGAGGGGGGUAGAAUUCCACGUGUAGCAGUGAAAUGCGUAGAUAUGUGGAGGAACACCGAUGGCGAAGGCAGCCCCCUGGGUCAAGAUUGACGCUCAUGCACGAAAGCGUGGGGAGCAAACAGGAUUAGAUACCCCUGUAGUCCCAUGA